This 472-nucleotide ribosomal RNA is filed under the name uncultured bacterium. Its description in RNAcentral is "bacterial SSU rRNA". It matches the Rfam family "Bacterial small subunit ribosomal RNA", at positions 335 to 799 of the family's 1533-position model. The record is from RNAcentral.
ACUCCUACGGGAGGCAGCAGUGGGGAAUAUUGCACAAUGGGGGAAACCCUGAUGCAGCCAUGCCGCGUGUGUGAAGAAGGCCUUCGGUUGUAAAGCACUUUCAGUAGGGAGGAAGGUAGUGUAGUUAACACCUGCACUAUUUGACGUUACCUACAGAAGAAGCACCGGCUAACUCCGUGCCAGCAGCCGCGGUAAUACGGAGGGUGCGAGCGUUAAUCGGAAUUACUGGGCGUAAAGCGCAUGCAGGCGGCCUGUUAAGUCAGAUGUGAAAGCCCGGGGCUUAACCUCGGAAUUGCAUUUGAAACUGGCAGGCUAGAGUCUUGUAGAGGGGGGUAGAAUUUCAGGUGUAGCGGUGAAAUGCGUGGAGAUCUGAAGGAAUACCAGUGGCGAAGGCGGCCCCCUGGACAAAGACUGACGCUCAGAUGCGAAAGCGUGGGGAGCAAACAGGAUUAGAUACCCUGGUAGGAUAGCG